RNAcentral lists this ribosomal RNA (195 nucleotides) under uncultured bacterium. Its description in RNAcentral is "partial 16S ribosomal RNA". It matches the Rfam family "Bacterial small subunit ribosomal RNA", at positions 338 to 525 of the family's 1533-position model. The record is from RNAcentral. RNAcentral also lists the same sequence under 2 other names.
UCUACGGGAGGCAGCAGUAGGGAAUCUUCCGCAAUGGGCGAAAGCCUGACGGAGCAACGCCGCGUGAGUGAUGAAGGGUUUCGGCUCGUAAAACUCUGUUAUUAGGGAAGAACAAAUGUGUAAGUAACUGUGCACAUCUUGACGGUACCUAAUCAGAAAGCCACGGCUAACUACGUGCCAGCAGCCGCGGUAAUA